RNAcentral lists this unclassified non-coding RNA (245 nucleotides) under fungal sp. RNAcentral describes it as "partial contains 5.8S ribosomal RNA, internal transcribed spacer 2, and large subunit ribosomal RNA". The record is from RNAcentral. Lineage: Eukaryota; Fungi.
CGCACAUUGCGCCCCUUGGUAUUCCAUUGGGCAUGCCUGUUCGAGCGUCAUCCAACCCCUCAAGCCCUGCUUGGUGUUGGGCGUCUGUCCGCGCCUCUGGCGUCGACUCGCCCCAAAGACAUUGGCAGCGGUUCGCCGGCUUCUCGCGCAGCAUCUCGCGCUUCCCGAGGCUUCGGCGGGCUCGCGUCCAUCAAGAUCGCCUUCCGUUUGACCUCGAAUCAGGUAGGGAUACCCGCUGAACUUAA